UUCAUAAUUUUACUUCUUGUUCCGAGCUCUGCAAAUUAGGGUUUGCUGUUGUGAUCUCUGAUGAAGUUAUAAAGAUCAAGGCAAGUAGGGAAUAGAGACGGUGUGUGAUUGGUGGAAAGGAAAAGCGAGUACGGAUAAAUUUUGGGGUGUGAAUUUGAGCAAUGACGGGUUGACACACAUGCAGCAGUCCUUUGUAGACAGUAAUCUUGAAGAUGAUGGGACACAAGAUCGUGAGCUUCUGGUACGUACUGGUUUUUGUCAUUUGUAAGACACGUUUCGUACUCAAAUUGGAACCUCGUUUGGCAAUUCACAUGCCAAAUCGGCCCUUUACCACGCUAUUUUGUCUCAUUAUUGUAACAUUGAACAAUGAUCAAGAAACCGAAGCACCUCCAUCGUUCAUGUCC
Molecule: long non-coding RNA, 404 nt
Organism: Cynara cardunculus var. scolymus (artichoke)
Lineage: Eukaryota; Viridiplantae; Streptophyta; Magnoliopsida; Asterales; Asteraceae
Exons: 2
Source: RefSeq, a predicted model, not a curated record